CAAAAAUAUUGACUAAAGGAAAAAAGCAUGUUUCAAAAGUAAAACUUACUAUCUGAAUAAACUUCUUAAAAUGAGUAACAAAGUAUGUUUCCUUUUUCUGUUUGCCUCUAUGUGUUUUUGUUAUCAAUUUCCUUAGUUUUGUUCUCUCUGCUCAGAGCUUUGCUCUCACUUCCAGAUUUGCACUUACACUGUCUGGCUUUCUCCUUUGCAAUCCCUGAGUUUUUGGUUGCAAUUCUGACACAACCCUUUCGGGUGGGCGGGACUUCUGAGAAGUCCUCUCCCAUAGGACAGUGGUUUCUCUUGAGUGACAGUUCAGUGACCUGGAAGUGAUGUAGCCUCCAAGACAUUUUUUUCCCACCUGGUCAACAACAUGAAUUUUGAGCCCCAAACAGGUUAUUUCUGCUGUCUGUGGUGUCUACUGAGGAUCUAAAGAACCUGUGGAACAUCAGAGACUUUGCAGCUACUGGAGCUAACCUGUGUACUGCUAACUUGCUACAGAGGAAGCAGCAGAAAGCUGAGCUAACAGGCUGUUCUUGCAGGUAAAUACUCUUUUAGUGGAACUGCAGGAUUUUUAUGGUAUAACUCAGACAGAAUCUACAUGAGCUAUUGUGGGAAGACAUUUAAACUACAUUUACAUACAGAUACAUGUAUUUUUUUAUUCCAUGUUACUUGGACGGGCUAAACAAGUUCAUAGUUCUGCCUGCUCCUUUUUCAGUGAAACGAAUGGAUUUUAUGAUGUAACUCUGACUGAAUAAUUAUCUAAAUUGAAAACUGUUGCAUUGCAUUACAAUGGAAGUGCUACACAGCCACAUGCAUCAACUGCAGCUGUUGACAAGCAUAUGGACCUAUUGUUCGAGUCCGUGGUGGUGGAUGCUCUACCAUAUCAGGAGUCUGACUAAGUACCUGUGCCUGAACCUCUCUGUGUCUAGUUAAAAAGACCUGAAAGACCUGCUGUAAGCAGGCACAGGAUAAGAUUUUAAAAGAACCUGUAAGGUUGCCUGAUGCUGAACUUCGGGCAGCUGCGUGCUCAGUGGAACAACCGCCUGUGGGAGGAGUCGUUGUGUUGCUGUUAGGAGUUUGGGUCGGAGUCCUGGGUUUGUGUUCCCUUUAAUCUCUUCAUUAGCCUUGCUAGUCACCAUUGCAGAGCACCAUGGAGAGGCUUACCUGAAAACUCUUCUCAUGGGGCAGGCACAUCCUCACACACCUGUAACCCCAUCCUUGAAUAAAAGCUGGUAGCUGGUCACUCAUCAGUGUUUUAACCCAUAUCUAGCCCAUGACUCUGCCGUUUUUCAAACUUACGUUCUCAUGUUCUAUGCAGAUCUAUGGGAAUUCUUUCCUUGAAGCUCCUGAUCACACAACCAUACUGGCAGUCGGCUUACCCACUACCUUCUGCUCACCCGCUUGCUACUCAUGCUGUCAUUCUCCCAGACUUCUGGUUGUUUCUCCACCAUUCUGCUGUCUCCCGUCUGCGCUACAAUUUCAGACCGUAAGUACCUAAACUUUUCCUUUUGUAAGUCAUUCUUUAGUCAUUACUAACACUCAAUUUUACCUCAGGGCCUUCUGAUCUUUAAACACUAAAACCUGUGGCUCCAUCUCUGUGGCGUUUCUCAGACUCUGUAAGCUACCUGCACAGUCUAAGAAAACCCUGACCUGUUGCCUCUUACUAACCUCUGCUCUUCCUCGCAGAAGCUUCUGGUUCCUGAUCUCCAGCAGUUACCUCUUCAGUCAUCCGUCAAACAUUUUAAUAAACUGUUUUUAGCUCA
Nothobranchius furzeri (turquoise killifish) is the source of this 1763-nucleotide non-coding RNA. The record is from RefSeq and is a predicted model, not a curated record. Lineage: Eukaryota; Metazoa; Chordata; Actinopteri; Cyprinodontiformes; Nothobranchiidae.